RNAcentral lists this long non-coding RNA (2136 nucleotides) under Sus scrofa (pig). RNAcentral describes it as "lncRNA (ENSSSCG00030070772.1)". The stretch from base 1738 to 1811 matches the Rfam family "mir-205 microRNA precursor family". The record is from RNAcentral. Lineage: Eukaryota; Metazoa; Chordata; Mammalia; Artiodactyla; Suidae.
GAGUUUGCUGGGUCCGUCUCCAGUUCCUUUUGUCUCUUCCCACAUCCCCUCACUCAAGGUCUCUGGGAGCCUGGGCCUUCAGAGACAGCCCUCAGAUCACCUGAGUCGCCCAAGGAUGGAGACCUCCCCCCCAUUUUCCAGAACAAUAAGGUUAGAUGCAGAAAGGCCUGGCCAUUCCCAGCCACCACCCCCCGACUCCUCCCCAGGUGUGGGUGCUGAGAGGUGGAGCCACAGCCAGGCCUCUCCCCAUUGGGCGGGCUCCACAGGUAACCUGAAGCUGUGCUGCCAGGUGCAUAAAUAAAGUGUGGGGCUAUGGUACCACCUCCUUGAAAGGGGCCGAGUCCUUCCUCAGCCUCGCCUUGGAAAAACCAGCUUCUCUCCCUUUCAUUGUCUGUUCCCAGCUCCUGUGCUGCAAGCUCAUCUGAGCCCCCCACACUCCAAACUCUCUCUUUCCGGGUCCUUGAACUCCCCUCUCUGCCAAUCCACUUUCCUCUGCCUUCGUACUCUUCACCAUGAAGGGAGAGGGGCUGUCCGGGACCAGCCCCCACCGCCCCGCAGGACCCACUUCUGUUCUGCACGGGCCUGCUCAGCUGAACUCCCUCUAUGGCAAGGGCUUCUUGUUUCUUACUCGCUGUCCUCCAAUCUUCGGAAGGCAAGAGCAGUCCAAGGCUUGGAAUUCCUUUCCUUCUCUCGCAUGCACGAGUCUCCAGCCACCUCUUUGUUCUGAAUUCUCUCAUGAAAGUUCUUUCGAAACAAGCUCAAAGAAGGCCCUGCCCUCUGACGGUACAGACCCUGAUACCUCCAGACACGGUCGUCGCUGGAGUGUCCGCCCUGGAGGUUAAGGACCCCAGAGGUGGGUGAGGCUCUCUGCACGUGCCCAUUGAGGAUUUGAAGAAUCUGGUGGACUGUACCCACUGGGAGGGUAAGAGUGGGGUAAGAUAGGUCUGGAGGGAGAGGAAUUGCCCCCUACGCUCUCCGAGUUGGGGUUGAAAUCCAGAGAGAAAGCAAAGAAUCCUUCUGACCCAGAUCUAUGGCCUCCCAUCAUCUCCUGGCAUCGCUUAUCAGCGCCAAACAGGUUGGGGAAGGAUGUGGGGCCACUAGAAAGUGGCCACCCGAGGUGGAUCCCUAGGAGCAACACCAAGAAGGCUUACCCUCCUCUGCCUACCCGGGGCCCAAAGAGCACGCCUGCCUCCGGCCAGGUGUUCUUCCCCCCAGUUCACGCCCGCACACGGGCCGGCCGCGCAAAGCGCUGCUCAGGCUCUUUGGAGGGUGCGGGCUGGAGAGGAACUGCUCCGCCCCGCCUUCCAGGGCCCUGGUUCGAAGGCGCGGGAGACGCAUUUUCCCAAAGCGGAAAUCUCAGAACACCUGCCUCCCCAGCACGGGGGGAGGACGCCCAGCAGCCCAGCUGGGUAAAGGCAGAGACGUUUCCAUGCGGAUGUGGGUGGGAUGGUCCCUCAAGGGUGAGAAACAGCAGAGGUCCCAGCCGGGCAGCGCCGGCCCACCCCGCGGCCCCGUCUGUGCCGCAGACACAGGGAGGUUCCGGCGAGCUGGCUCUGGGCAGCUCCGGAGGGAAGUGGUCUCCGCCAGAGGGUGUGAGGACUCGGAUCUUCCCCAUUCCCCGCGACCGUGACUCCGAUCGUGGAGGCUUUCGGCCAGGCAACCAACGACCUGGUGUACCGAGGCCAGGGUUGCCCCGUGGCCCAGACUCAGCACAAGACCUCGGAACAGUCCACGUGUUUCUCUUGUCCUUCAUUCCACCGGAGUCUGUCUCAUACCCAACCAGAUUUCAGUGGAGUGAAGCUCAGGAGGCGUGGAGCUGACACCGCAGCAGAAGCGGCGACAAGAAGAGCUCUGUGAUGCACGCGGUCGCCCGCCGACUCCCGGGCCUUCGACGUCACCGCCCCUUUGGGUUACAAUGGAGACCUGAGCUCAACGACUGGCUCGGGUUCCCUCCCUACGUGGGUCCUCCAGGCAGGUGGCUGGAACUCUAUUCCCAAUCAGCAAGGAACCCUCUGCCCUGCCCCCCCCCCCCAGAGGACCCGCAGGACCUGCACAAGGGGGUUAAAAAACGACGAGGAUUUAAAAGAGCAUUUAUAUCGUAAUAAAAUAAAUGUAAAUAUGAUGGAUGUGAAGGCA